Molecule: ribosomal RNA, 444 nt
Filed under: uncultured bacterium
Lineage: Bacteria
Description: bacterial SSU rRNA
Rfam family: Bacterial small subunit ribosomal RNA
Source: RNAcentral
CCAGACUCCUACGGGAGGCAGCAGUGGGGAAUAUUGCACAAUGGGGGGAACCCUGAUGCAGCGACGCCGCGUGGGUGAAGGAGUACUUCGGUACGUAAAGCCCUAUCAGCAGGAAAGAAAAUGACGGUACCUGACUAAGAAGCCCCGGCUAACUACGUGCCAGCAGCCGCGGUAAUACGUAGGGGGCAAACGUUAUCCGGAUUUACUGGGUGUAAAGGGAGCGUAGACGGCAGUGCAAGUCCGGAGUGAAAGCCCGUGGCUCAACCACGGGACUGCUUUGGAAACUGUGUUGCUGGAGUGCAAGAGGGGUAAGCGGAAUUCCUAGUGUAGCGGUGAAAUGCGUAGAUAUUAGGAGGAACACCGGUGGCGAAGGCGGCUUACUGGACUGUAACUGACGUUGAGGCUCGAAGGCGUGGGAAGCAAACAGGAUUAGAUACCCCCGUA